GAUGAACGCUGGCGGCGUGCUUAACACAUGCAAGUCGAACGAUGAAGCCCAGCUUGCUGGGUGGAUUAGUGGCGAACGGGUGAGUAACACGUGAGUAACCUGCCCUUAACUCUGGGAUAAGCCUGGGAAACUGGGUCUAAUACCGGAUAGGAGCGUCCACCGCAUGGUGGGUGUUGGAAAGAUUUAUCGGUUUUGGAUGGACUCGCGGCCUAUCAGCUUGUUGGUGGGGUAAUGGCUCGCAAAGGCGACGACGGGUAGCCGGCCUGAGAGGGUGACCGGCCACACUGGGACUGAGACACGGCCCAGACUCCUACGGGAGGCAGCAGUGGGGAAUAUUGCACAAUGGGCGCAAGCCUGAUGCAGCGACGCCGCGUGAGGGAUGACGGCCUUCGGGUUGUAAACCUCUUUCAGUAGGGAAGAAGCGAAAGUGACGGUACCUGCAGAAGAAGCACCGGCUAACUACGUG
This 466-nucleotide ribosomal RNA is filed under the name uncultured bacterium. RNAcentral describes it as "partial 16S ribosomal RNA". It matches the Rfam family "Bacterial small subunit ribosomal RNA", at positions 28 to 507 of the family's 1533-position model. The record is from RNAcentral.